CAGCCAGGGCGGGAAUCGAACCCACAACCUUCUGCUUACCGGGAAGGUGCCAUGUCCACUAGGCUACCCUGGAC
Molecule: transfer RNA, 74 nt
Filed under: Cordylochernes scorpioides
Lineage: Eukaryota; Metazoa; Arthropoda; Arachnida; Pseudoscorpiones; Chernetidae
Description: tRNA-Thr
Source: RNAcentral